AUGUCCCACCACACCACACUGACAUACCUAAUCUCCUCUGAUUUAAGAAGCUAAGCAGAAUCAGGCCAAGUUUGCACUUGGAUGGGAGACCAUUAGGAAUACCAGAGAUAUC
Molecule: ribosomal RNA, 112 nt
Filed under: Pogona vitticeps (central bearded dragon)
Lineage: Eukaryota; Metazoa; Chordata; Lepidosauria; Squamata; Agamidae
Source: RNAcentral